RNAcentral lists this ribosomal RNA (591 nucleotides) under Triticum aestivum (bread wheat). Its description in RNAcentral is "partial small subunit ribosomal RNA". Lineage: Eukaryota; Viridiplantae; Streptophyta; Magnoliopsida; Poales; Poaceae. The record is from RNAcentral.
AUGGCGGCGCAGGAGAUCAAGGACGCCGUGCAGGCUUACACGGGCCUCUCACCCGCGGCCGCCUUCACCGUGCUGGCUCUCAUGCUCGCCACCUACCUCAUCGUCUCCACCCUCUUCGUCGCCCCAGACGCCGCCGCUUCCGCACCGGCGGCUCAUCCCCAGCCGCCUCAGCAGCAGAAGCAGGUGACGGAGGCGGAGGCGGAGGCGGAGGAGCCGUUCGUGCCGCUGUUUCCGGACCCUGUGCAGGUGGGCGAGAUCACGCUCGAGCAGCUCAGGGCGUAUGACGGCAAGGAUCCAGCCAAGUCCAUCCUCAUCGCCAUCCGCGGUCAGGUCUACGACGUCUCGCGCGGGAGUUGUCUAUUUUCUCUUGAGCUCAGGCUGUUUUAUGGACCUCAAGGACCAUACUCCUUGUUUGCCGGGAGGGAUGCAUCUCGGGCCCUGGCAUUGAUGUCAUUUGACCUUAAUGACCUGACUGGAGACUUGGAAGGCCUGAGCCCAGACGAACUGGAGGUUUUACAAGACUGGGAAGAGAAGUUUAAAGAGAGGUACCCUGUGGUGGGCCAUCUUCCUUGUGAGAAAGGCAACAGCUGA